RNAcentral lists this long non-coding RNA (619 nucleotides) under Medicago truncatula (barrel medic). Its description in RNAcentral is "lncRNA gene1627". Lineage: Eukaryota; Viridiplantae; Streptophyta; Magnoliopsida; Fabales; Fabaceae. The record is from RNAcentral.
UUGCUAUCUUCAUUUUUAUCCUGGCGAGGUUUGAAAAUGGCGGCGUCGAUUGUUUGGUUAGGAAGAGGAGAUGUUGUUGGAGUAUAGGGAGCUAUUAUCUACCUUUUUUUUACAAAGACAAUAUGAGGUGGAAGAUAGGUGAAAAUGACAACUCACAUCUGACAAAGGCUACACCAUCAGAGAUGUUUAUCACCUGUUGGUUAAGGAUGAUCCGGUCGAUAACCUUCAAGAUGUUAUUUGGCACAAAGUGUCACUUUUAAAAGUUUCUAUUAUUGUAUGGCAUUUUCUCCGAAAUAGGUUGCUAACAUAUGAUAAUCUAUUUUGAUGUGAAAUUAUUCAACAAAACUUGAAUGUGUGUGUAAGUGGUUGUGGUUUUGAGGAAGGCAUAAAUAAUUUAUAUUUGGGAUGUAAUCUUUUUGGAAGGAGGAAUACUAACAACACUCACUUUUCAACACUCUCUCCAACAUUUAUUCAUUUAUUGGAUGAAAUUAAUGUAUGUUCCACCACUUAGUGCGGGUUCAAUUUUCAAAGUGUAGACCCACAAUGAUUUAAACCAUUAAGAGAGUGGAUAUUAGAAAGAGUGUUUAAAAGAGAGUGUUGCUAGCAUUACUCAUUCAAU